This 490-nucleotide ribosomal RNA is filed under the name uncultured bacterium. RNAcentral describes it as "bacterial SSU rRNA". It matches the Rfam family "Bacterial small subunit ribosomal RNA", at positions 15 to 507 of the family's 1533-position model. The record is from RNAcentral.
GAUCCUGGCUCAGAUUGAACGCUGGCGGCAUGCUUUACACAUGCAAGUCGAACGGUAACAGGUUAAGCUGACGAGUGGCGAACGGGUGAGUAAUGCAUCGGAACGUGCCCAGUCGUGGGGGAUAACGCAGCGAAAGCUGUGCUAAUACCGCAUACGAUCUAUAGAUGAAAGCGGGGGACCGUAAGGCCUCGCGCGAUUGGAGCGGCCGAUGUCAGAUUAGCUAGUUGGUGGGGUAAAGGCCCACCAAGGCGACGAUCUGUAGCUGGUCUGAGAGGACGACCAGCCACACUGGAACUGAGACACGGUCCAGACUCCUACGGGAGGCAGCAGUGGGGAAUUUUCCGCAAUGGGCGAAAGCCUGACGGAGCAAUACCGCGUGAGGGAAGAAUGCCUAUGGGUUGUAAACCUCUUUCAGACGGAAAGAAAUCGGUGUGUCUAAUACACGCACUGGAUGACGGUACCGUAAGAAGAAGCACCGGCUAACUACGUG